GAAGCUCUGGGGCUUCAGUCAAUGACUCAGGGUAGCCACCGAACAUGAUGCUCGGGCAGUGGGUGCCACCUGGACUCCACUCUCCCCUCUCUCUGGGAUCAUAGAGUCCAAGGUGUUCUGUGGCCUCUCGGCCAAUCCCAGCAGCUCAGCGUGCAGAAGACCGAGGAGCCAUUGGAAAAGAAAAAGAGAACAUAUAUCCCCCUACCUUUUGAUUUCCAACAGUCUACUGAGAGGCCAAGAUUAUUUGCAGGGAAAGAAAAGGGGUCAAAAUGUUUUGCCAGUAACUCCCAAAUCAUCUACAGCCAAGGAGAAAAGUGUUUCAAGACAGAGGUGCUCAAUGGUAUCAAAUACUGCCAACAGACCAAGUAAUACAUGCAUUGAAGUGUCUACUGGAUCUAGCUAUAUGAUUCCACAGCUGUUUUAUAGUAACUCAGAGUUUGAAGAGAAAUUACUCCUGCAGUACCAGUUUCCAAAAUGCUUUGUAGCAUCUUCUCAAAAAACAAAUGGGAAGAAGCCAAUCAGAAAUAAGGUAGAAUUGGCCAGGCACGGUGGCUCAUGCCUGUAAUCCAGCACUUUGGGAGGCCAAGGUGGACGGAUCACCUGAGGUCAGGAGUUUGAGACCAGCCUGGCCAACAUGGGAAACCCUGUCUCUACUAAAAAUACAAAAAUCAGCUGGGCAUGGUGGCACUUGCCUAUAAUCUCAGCUACUUGGGAGGCUGCGGCAGAAGAAUCGCUUGAACCUGGGAGGCGGAGGUUGCCUCCCGGUGAGACAAGAUUGCACCACUGCGCUCCAGCCUGGGCAACAGACCGAGGCUCUGUCACGAAAAAAAAAAAAAAAAAAAAAAGAAA
Molecule: long non-coding RNA, 849 nt
Filed under: Homo sapiens (human)
Lineage: Eukaryota; Metazoa; Chordata; Mammalia; Primates; Hominidae
Description: long intergenic non-protein coding RNA 710
Source: RNAcentral